GGCCCUGUGGCUUAGUUGGUCAAACUUUCAAAGCACCUGUCUAGUAAACAGGAGAUCCUGGGUUCAAAUCCCAGCAGAGCCU
Non-coding RNA from Cololabis saira (Pacific saury), 82 nucleotides. The record is from the annotation of a RefSeq genome assembly. Lineage: Eukaryota; Metazoa; Chordata; Actinopteri; Beloniformes; Belonidae.